This 1674-nucleotide long non-coding RNA is filed under the name Sorghum bicolor (sorghum). RNAcentral's name for it is "long non-coding RNA (SBIC_LNC010776)". Lineage: Eukaryota; Viridiplantae; Streptophyta; Magnoliopsida; Poales; Poaceae. The record is from RNAcentral.
CUCUAGGUUAGGGUAAACUGUAAAGAUUGAAACUUACUCAUUUUACCUUCCACCAUGGGGCUUGCAACCGUCACCUGUGUCUUGAGCAGUUAAAAGAUAGAACGGUCUAGUCAAGCGCCAUGUCUCUUGUUCUUCGAUUAACUAUAGCUCUGGAGUUUUUGCAGAUUUUCAAAUAAAGCUCAGAGAUUCCUUGUAUGACUCUCUCUAGUCUCUCUUUUGUGGUAUUUCUGGAUCCUUACCAAGGCAGUAAAGGUGUAUGCCUUCUCUCAAAAUAUAUAGUAUUUGUGGUAUGAAGCAUAGUGUCAUUACCUUCUCUCUCAUCCUACUUCUAAAAAGGCUUUGAUAUCUGGAGCUCCUAGGUGGGAGACAGCUAAUACAUACUUAUAAGACAUUUAUUGCAUAGUCAAACCAUGGAUCCAGAAGAACAAGUCAAUAAGUCAAAUCAAGAUGUGCAUGUGUGGCGAACGAAUGGUGUAUGGUGAUGAUGGUGAUAACAAUGGUGAAAGUCUAAUUCUACUUUUGCUCUUUGAGGGGAUACAUACCUUCCUUGCUCUUUUGAAACCUUUGGAGAGAAUGAGAUGCUCUGUAUUUUCUUUUUUUUCUUUCCUCUCAGGUGGGUAUCUUGUACCCCUAAUUCUACUGUCGGACACUUGUCCAUUUUUACCUCUCGUCUCACUUUUUCUUUUCUUUGAGGUUCCGGACACUUGCCCCUUUUUAUUUUCUCGUAUUCACUUUUUUUCAGAGCACUCAUCCUCCUAGAAUAAUGUAGCAAGUGGUAGUAACCAAAAUAUCUUGAACAUUUAUUUCAUGGGGAAAAACAGGAAUAGGAGAAUGUUUUUGGCUAUUCUCUCCUGGAUUAGGAGUAGAAUAUUUUUGGGUGGUUCUAGAGAUGGAAAUGGAUGGAUAUAUGUGGAUGCGUACUUCCGGAGUAGAAGCAGCAUGUGUGAGUGAACGUGCAAGUGAAUCUUGAUUUAACCACAUGACAAGCUCCUAAGGGUCUACACAGCUUGACCACACUCAAUGCUCAUAAGCAGUAAAGUAAAUGUGUGGCUCAAAGUCUAGCAAGCAUGUAUAUAUGGCUAUGGUAGGAAUUUAAACUCUCAUCAUACAGGAACUCAUCAUAUGAUAUUUUAAAGAUUUUCAAAGAUAUAAUUCUCCAGAAUUCUAGCAUCUCUAGGAACAGAUAAACAGCAGCUCAACCUUCCCAUAUCGUAUCCGUUAACGACUUAGACUUUAGAUCAAGUACUCUCCCCACAAGUUCAGGUUUAGAGCAAAUCUUAAUUAAUACCAGUCAUGCCUAAACUUGAGAGAGAUUUCAAUUUUAAGAACAAGUCAUGGCAGAGCAACUAUUCAUAAUUUCCAUGUGAGAGCUUAUCAUGAGGGUUCAUAGCAAACUUUAUUUAUUUAUUUAUUUAGCAAACUAAGCAAAGAUAUAUAUAAGCACAAAAUCUUUAUUUGGGUUUAUAUGAUUAUGCAUCUUUUUAUUAUUUGAGUAAAAUAUAAACAUGAGUAGAGCACUUAGCUAGAUAAAUGGGGGUGCUCUCCCCCAAGCUGGAUUUUGACGUAAUUUCUCCUGAUGUAGCUAGCAGGUGGCGGAGGUGUAUUUGAAUGUCGGCAGCACCCUGACAGCGAUUAGGAUGUCCUCCGUCUACUAGUCUUCUUUGAUCCUUGAAU